Molecule: small nuclear RNA, 204 nt
Filed under: Callithrix jacchus (white-tufted-ear marmoset)
Lineage: Eukaryota; Metazoa; Chordata; Mammalia; Primates; Cebidae
Description: U4 spliceosomal RNA (ENSCJAG00000043069.3)
Rfam family: U4 spliceosomal RNA (bases 1-133)
About the family: U4 small nuclear RNA (U4 snRNA) is a component of the major U2-dependent spliceosome. The structure of U4 snRNA from yeast and human has been reported.
Source: RNAcentral
AGCUUUGCGCAGUGGCAGUAUCGUAGCCAAUGAGGUUUAUCCAAGGCGCGAUUAUUGCUAAUUGAAACGUGGACUUGCAGGACAAAAAGCCUGUGACGUGCUUAUUUCAGAUGACACAUAGUACAGACUUGUGUGGUCUGCAAAAGAAAUGGAAUCUGCUAUUUACACUGCUGGGUCUCUAAUUAUUGCCUUUUACUCCAAAAA